AUGUGGGAGAUCACACCCCAUUAUGCUGAGAAGCUAGAGGUGGAAAAGGAAAGGGCCAGGUACUACAAACCCAUUCAAGCUGGUGUAAAUCUAUGGCAAGUGACAAGUGGGCAGCAAACACAUCCAGUCAACUUGGACAUGCAUACAUGUGGUUUUAGAAAGUGGGACCUAUCUGGCAUACCAUGCAACCAUGCUGUAUCUUCCAUUAGCAAGGCAAAAAGGUUUCCAGAGGACUAUGUUUCUAUAUUCUUCAAAAAACCUUUUUACAUAGCAUCAUAUGAACAUAUGAUAUAUCCUGUCCUUGGUGAACAUGACUGGACAAAGACAGCUGGACCAGACAUAGAUCCACCUGAAUUUCAUGUGAAGAGAGGAAGGAAAAAAGAGAAGAGGAUAAAGGGCAGGUACACCAAUUGCAAGGUUCAACUAAAACCAGAGCUGGCUAUGAGGAAAAACAAGCAUGUGGCACCUGCAAGAUCAAGGAAUGCUCAUGAAGCUACUCCACCUGCAAGAUCACAGCCCCCACAUGCAUCUGGUGCUAGAUCUGCUUCUGCAAGGGCAUCUAGUGCUAGAUCUGCUGCUGCAAGGGGAUCUGGUGCUAGAUCUGCUACUGCAAGGGCAACUGGUGCUAGAUCUCCUACUGUAAGAGACCAAAGGCCAUUCUUUGCUCCAAGAUCUUCCUCUGGAGCUUCAACUUCUGGUGCAAGGGCAUCUGAUGACCCAAUAAGUCAUUCUGGAUGGAUGUCCUUUUUCAAUGCCAGUAGGGGAGGUCAAAACUGA
This 777-nucleotide ribosomal RNA is filed under the name Triticum aestivum (bread wheat). RNAcentral describes it as "partial small subunit ribosomal RNA". The record is from RNAcentral. Lineage: Eukaryota; Viridiplantae; Streptophyta; Magnoliopsida; Poales; Poaceae.